Molecule: unclassified non-coding RNA, 290 nt
Filed under: Venturiaceae sp.
Lineage: Eukaryota; Fungi; Ascomycota; Dothideomycetes; Venturiales; Venturiaceae
Description: partial contains 5.8S ribosomal RNA, internal transcribed spacer 2, and large subunit ribosomal RNA
Rfam family: 5.8S ribosomal RNA (bases 1-71)
Source: RNAcentral
GUGAAUCAUCGAAUCUUUGAACGCAUAUUGCGCCCUCUGGUAUUCCGGGGGGCACACCUGUUCGAGCGCCAUUUCAACCCUCAAGCAUGGCUUGGUGUUGGGUAAGGUCCUAGAGGACCUACCCGUAACUCGUAGGCGGUUACUGCCUCGCGCCCCCAGCGUAGCAAGCUUACGCACUCGCUCGGGGACGGGGUGUAACCUUUGCCUUUUGCAAAUCAAACCCCUCAAAGGUUUGGCCUCGGAUCAGGUGGGGAUACCCGCUGAACUUAAGCAUAUCAAUAAGCGGAGGA